Molecule: long non-coding RNA, 2789 nt
Organism: Felis catus (domestic cat)
Lineage: Eukaryota; Metazoa; Chordata; Mammalia; Carnivora; Felidae
Exons: 4
Source: RefSeq, a predicted model, not a curated record
UACCUACUGUGAUGUCAGGAGGCACAAAUGACACUGGAAUUCUAUACUGCAAAAUCUAAGUUAAGGACCUUGUGAUGGUUAAGUCUAUAUGUCACCUUGACUGUGCCCCAUAUUCCUUUAACAUUAUUCUGGAAGUCGCGUGAAUAAAUGUCCAUGGGUCAAGAGAGAAAAGAUGGACCCCUGGAGUACCAAGACACCCAACCACUUUCCAUGAAGGAGAAGAGGUCUUGAACCACAAAGGGGCAUGGCAGACUGGUCUGGAGGGCACAGCAGGAGAAGGAGGAUGCUUUGGCUUUUCAACCUUGUCUUCAGGAUGUUCUACUUCCCUCAAAAGUCCUACCCUCAAACAGCAAACCUCCAGCAGGAGCAGGCAGAGGCAUCCCCACUGUCCAGUUUCACAGCAAUGAUCAGGAGAACUUCUGGGGUCAACUUCUAACUUCUAUUCAGCAAUUUCAAAGACCGGCCAGAUAAGAGAACUUUAUUAACUCCUUUAUCAACUGUCAGCUUCCUUUCAAAUUACUCCUAGGCAAAAAGUUUUGUUGCUAUAAUUACUGCUGUUAUUCAGGGGGGGGGGGAGGAGGGAGAUGGAUUUUAUUUAUUUUAAAUGUUUCGUAGUAUUUUAAAAAGACAAGAUGUGGUUGGAAAAGAAAACUUAAAAGGUAUACAGAACAAAGUCUAUCUCCCACUAGUUCUCCAUUUGCCCAGUUCCCAGCUGCAGCCAUAAGAAACCACUGUUAUUAGUCAUUUGUGAUUCUUUCUGAAAUGUCUUUUAUAUACACAAGCAAAUAUAAAUACAUAUUCUCCCCACCCACCCACCCAAAUGUUCUUUCACACAAAUGAAAGCAAACUCAACACAAUCUUUUGACACUUGGCCUUUUUUUCAUUUAACAGUGGAUCCUGAAGUUCUUCCCUAUUCGUACAUAAAAUGUUUCUUUUUUUCCCCCCACAAAUACAUUUGUGUACAGCUGAACAAUACAGAGGCUAGAGACACCGAUCCCCUGCACAGUCAAAAAUCUAUGAAUAACUUCUGACUCCCCAAAAACUGAACUACUAAUAGCCUACUGUUGACCAGGAAAGUUACCAAUUACAUAAAGCAGUCAAUUAAUACAUAUUUUAUGUGUUAUAUGUAUUAUACUGUACCCUUACAAAUAAUACCUUUUUAAUUUUUUCUGUAUUUCAAUGAUACCUGGUUCAUCUUAAGAGUUUUUUCAAAUUGUCACAGGUCUCCAAAAAACUUUCCAAUAUAUUUACUGAACAAAAUUUGUGUGUAAGUAGACCUACACAGUUCAAACCAGUGUUGUUCAAGGGUCAAAUGUAUUUCAUAUUUUGUAUGUAUGAUAAUUUUUAAAAAUUCCCUUUUAAUGGAUAAGACUGUUUCCAAUGUUUUGUCAUUAAAAUUAGUACUUCAAAAAAAAAACAAAAUAAGUGUUUUAAUCAAUAACUUUUUACCUACAACAUUUAGUAUAUAUGCAAGUAUCAGUGUAGAAUAAAUUCUCAGAACAAGAACUUCUAGGUCCAAGAGUACAUGAAGUUGUGAUUUUGAUAAGUAUUAUUAAACUGUCCUCUACAGGGAUUCUUUACACACCCACCAGCAACACACAUAAACACAUAUAAGCUUCUUUAUAAUCUUACCAAUGAACAAACCAAAUACAUAAAACCUAAAACAAUAAAAAUUUAGGGAUUUUGCCAAACUCACAUCCCAUCGUUCUUCAUAGCCUUUUAAAUUUUUACUGUGAGGCUGAAUACCUGCCUUCAUAUACUUAAGAGCCAUUCAGACUUCCUAUCUGUGGCCUACAGAGCCUCUUUACCUCUUAGGUAUAUUAGCCCUUUGUCUAUGAGUUGGGGGGAAAAGCUUUAAAUUGUUGUCACAUAUGUGAAAGGCAUAGUUCUUUAUUUAGGGGUACAUUACAAACUGUACUUGUCUAUUUGGCCAAUAUUUAUUAAGUGUCCUGUGUCUUAAUCCUGUGGCUAUACCAUAACGUCUAUCUAUGAUGCUGACCACUAAUACUGAAUGAACAGAACAGGUCUUUGCCUUCAUGGAGUCUACAAUUGAACAGACAACCAAUGAAAGGAGUCCUAAUGAUAAUGUGAUAUGAGUCUAAUGAAAUUAGAGGUAUUUUUCAUCUUGAGACAGAGCUGAAAGAGACAAAACAAAUACAGAUAAGCACUGUUUUCCAAAUGGCAGGCAGCAUGCUACAUAGCAUAGACCACAGCCCAGUGCAUGAUGGGCCAAUAAUAAAUAGGAGAAGAAAAUCUAAAAACUGAAGCACUGAAACACGUGCCUCAUGUGGUGGCAAGUAGACUGUUAUGAUAUCUUCCCCCAAAUUAGUGUUUCAAAGGUUUGAGCUCCUCCAUGCAGCUAUAUUGAUCAUUACUUAUAUAACACUAUUGUGAGAAAUUCAACUAGUAUCCUUAUCUCAUACAUUCUUUGCAAGACUAUUUGCUGGGAAAUUAAAGUGAAAACACCCUAUGCUGAACCAAGUCCUUGUUGGCUCUGAUGCUGAACAAGCUCUCUGAGUGGCCUGGCUUACUGCAUUUCCAUGUAUUCUACAUAUAAACAGUAUAUAGACAUUCUACAUAUAUGGACCACUGGGUCUCAAAGAUCAGUCUGUCAUGGAGAAUGCCUCCACUCCAAAGAAAAAUAAGGAACAACUGUUUUCUCACCAACGUAAAGAAAAAUUUCUUUAAAAAAAGAACAGAGGGGCGCCUUGGUGGCUCAGUCAGUUAAGUGUCCGACUUCGGCUCAGUUCAUAAUCUCACGGUUUGUGGGUUUGAGACCCACGUCAGGC